RNAcentral lists this ribosomal RNA (460 nucleotides) under uncultured bacterium. RNAcentral describes it as "partial 16S ribosomal RNA". It matches the Rfam family "Bacterial small subunit ribosomal RNA", at positions 338 to 795 of the family's 1533-position model. The record is from RNAcentral.
CCUACGGGUGGCUGCAGUGAGGAAUAUUGGUCAAUGGGCGCGAGCCUGAACCAGCCAAGUCGCGUGAGGGAGGACGGCCCUACGGGUUGUAAACCUCUUUUGCCGGGGAGCAACGGGCGUCACGUGUGGCGCCACUGAGAGUACCCGGAGAAAAAGCAUCGGCUAACUCCGUGCCAGCAGCCGCGGUAAUACGGAGGAUGCGAGCGUUAUCCGGAUUUAUUGGGUUUAAAGGGUGCGUAGGCGGAUCGUUAAGUCAGUGGUCAAAUUGAGGGGCUCAACCCCUUCCCGCCAUUGAAACUGGCGUUCUUGAGUGGAAGAGAAGUAUGCGGAAUGCGUGGUGUAGCGGUGAAAUGCGUAGAUAUUAGGAGGAACAUCAGGGGCGAAGGCAGUUCACUGGACUGCAACUGACACUGAGGCUCGAAAGUGUGGGUAUCAAACAGGAUUAGAUACCCGAGUAGUC